CUUCUCAGGGCGGGGUGAAAGUCCCUACCGGCGGUAAAUCGGUACGCAGUGGCGUCACCGAAAGCCCGCGAGCGCUUGCAUUACGAUGCAAGGUCAGCAGAUCCGGUGUAAUUCCGGGGCCGACGGUUAUAGUCCGGAUGGGAGAGAGU
Molecule: non-coding RNA, 149 nt
Filed under: Edwardsiella tarda
Lineage: Bacteria; Pseudomonadati; Pseudomonadota; Gammaproteobacteria; Enterobacterales; Hafniaceae
Description: FMN riboswitch (RFN element)
Rfam family: FMN riboswitch aptamer (RFN element)
About the family: The RFN element is a highly conserved domain that is found frequently in the 5'-untranslated regions of prokaryotic mRNAs that encode for flavin mononucleotide (FMN) biosynthesis and transport proteins. This element is a metabolite-dependent riboswitch that directly binds FMN in the absence of proteins.
Source: RNAcentral